CCUACGGGAGGCUGCAGUGAGGAAUAUUGGUCAAUGGUCGGGAGACUGAACCAGCCAAGCCGCGUGAGGGAUGAAGGUACAGAGUAUCGUAAACCUCUUUUGUCAGGGAACAAAGGCGGGGACGCGUCCCCGGAUGAGUGUACCUGAAGAAAAAGCAUCGGCUAACUCCGUGCCAGCAGCCGCGGUAAUACGGAGGAUGCGAGCGUUAUCCGGAUUUAGUGGGUUUACAGGGUGCUCAGGCCGUCUGUUAAGUCAGCGGUCAAAGCCCGGGGCUCAACCCCGGCCCGCCGUUGAAACUGGCAGUCUCGAGUUGGAGAGAAGUAUGCGGAAUGCGCGGUGUAGCGGUGAAAUGCAUAGAUAUCGCGCAGAACUCCGAUUGCGAAGGCAGCAUGCCGGCUCCACACUGACGCGGAGGCACGAAAGCGUGGGUAUCGAACAGGAUUAGAUACCCGGGUAGUC
Molecule: ribosomal RNA, 459 nt
Filed under: uncultured bacterium
Lineage: Bacteria
Description: partial 16S ribosomal RNA
Rfam family: Bacterial small subunit ribosomal RNA
Source: RNAcentral